AAGUCGUAACAAGGUUUCCGUAGGUGAACCUGCGGAAGGAUCAUUAACACGUAUCCACGUUUUAUAAAAAAACAUUAUCAACACCAGAAAGAACUGAACUCCCUGCUGAUAAAACUGCGGUGUCGUAAUCCUGUCUUGAUGGGUCCCAGUCUAACGUGUAGUUGUUCGAGACUUGCAUUAGAUUGAAGGCUGGCAGGCGUCGACUAUCAUACCUCGAGUAUGUGCCAAAACAUUAUUAGCAGGCUUACUGACUCUAUUCUCGCGUGGAAGUCAAAUUCCAACCCUUACCAUCAUAAGGCC
The sequence is an unclassified non-coding RNA, 300 nucleotides long. The stretch from base 1 to 46 matches the Rfam family "Eukaryotic small subunit ribosomal RNA", at positions 1786 to 1831 of the family's 1831-position model.